Molecule: long non-coding RNA, 740 nt
Organism: Oryza brachyantha (malo sina)
Lineage: Eukaryota; Viridiplantae; Streptophyta; Magnoliopsida; Poales; Poaceae
Exons: 4
Source: RefSeq, a predicted model, not a curated record
UCUAACAGCUGCGCCGUCAGCCGCGGGGACGGCUCCCGGCGGGGGGUCCCUCCCUGGUAGCGGAAGAGGCGGCGCGGCAGGGGCGAGCUAGGGGAGGGGCCAGCUGCUGCCUCGCCGUGGAGAUCGACGCUUGUGCUGGGAGCUUUCCUCGCCAAUUCGCCGGGAGCUCGACGCCAUCGCGUUGCUCAUGUAGCCGUCUCUGCACUUCAAUUUGCAUCUGAAGGGCUUCACCUAUGUGCACAGAUCUGAUAAAAAAAACAAAGAUGGUUUCUCUGUUGCUGUGGUGCAAACUAGCGCUGACGAAUGAAAAGGAAGUUCAAUAUUAAGCUUAAUGGCACGCACGCACGCGAUCCCGGAAGAAGGAAUAAGGGAAAGCGAUGCUGACAGAGAAUCGCGACGCUGAUCAUUUUUCUCCUUGGUAAAGAUGAGGAGGAAUAUAUAUCACCUCUUGAGAAGUUGAGAGUUGAGUGCGUGGCUAUUUUGUUGUCCGCGCCGGCCUCCUUGUUUCUCGGCGCCGGCGGUGUUUUGCAAAUGAACAGCACGUGUGAACUGUUGUUUGUAGGUGGGUAGGUUGGCUCCCUGAACUUAGGCUUAGGUUGUUUUAGUUUAGGAUUAUUGGGCCAACUUAUUAUAAUCUACAAACUAGAUUAUUAUAAUCUUAUAAGCUCCUCUAAUAAUGCUUUUCCAUAUUAUUGAGUGGUUAAAGACUCAUUACCCUCAGACACUUUAAAUUAAUUACU